Molecule: long non-coding RNA, 392 nt
Organism: Carcharodon carcharias (great white shark)
Lineage: Eukaryota; Metazoa; Chordata; Chondrichthyes; Lamniformes; Lamnidae
Exons: 2
Source: RefSeq, a predicted model, not a curated record
AUUUCCCUCUUGACGGGGUGAGCCGGUUUUCUGCUCCUCUUGUUUUCCGGCGGUCUGCCCUCCUUCUCCAUCUCUGCCAUGAUGAGAAAGCAACAGGAAUGGUCAACACGAAGCUCGGGCUCAUUCAUCCCUUGGGUUCUGGUGGAUGUGAUGCACAGCUUUGGGAAACAAAGAGGUUUGCCGAAUAGUUUUCGUGAAGGUGGUACCCUUUAAAAUCGAUGCUAUGAAAGAGUGAAGAAGGUUCAGGCAGCCUGAUUCUUUGGAGUGUUCUAACUGGUGUGUCCCUUUAUAAAAGUGAUGCAAAGUCUACCGUUACAAGCGACUACAUACACCUGUACGGGUUAUCAACAACACCAGUAGACCGGGGAAAAUAAUAAAAGCCUAUCCUGUCA